Long non-coding RNA from Glycine soja, 373 nucleotides. RefSeq lists it as uncharacterized. Lineage: Eukaryota; Viridiplantae; Streptophyta; Magnoliopsida; Fabales; Fabaceae. The record is from RefSeq and is a predicted model, not a curated record. The transcript is spliced from 3 exons.
GAGUUUGACCUUCCUUAGUUCACAUUUUUAUAUGAUUAUAUCAGGUCGCCUAAAAAGAGAAAGCGAACAAAUAGCAAUGGUGGAGCCUCUUCAUGUAAAUCAAAAAGGGUAUCCAAAAAGUCUGACAACUCAGAUGAUGGCAGCGCAACUAGUCGGAGUAAAUAAUGAUGUAGCUUUUGAGGAGCAUGUCAGUCAUGGUUGAAGUGGACUUGGGGCCAAGGUUUAAACCUCGGUCUUUUGAUUUGAUGUCGUAGUAGGGGACCAACUUAGGAAAUAGAUGUCAUCUUUUGGAUAUGUUGUAUUUAUUGCCUUAAGGGAACCCUUAAACCUUGAUUAUUUGCUUUCAAUUGUAGUGCUCUAUAACACAAAACCA